CCGCUCACCGAUGAUGAGAUCGCCACCUACCUCUUCACCGGGCUCGACAGCGACUACGAUCCACUGGUUACAUCUCUAACCACGCGGGUUGAGUUGGUUUCACUCAACGAGGUGUAUGCUCACUUCAUGGCGUUUGAGA
Dioscorea cayenensis subsp. rotundata (Guinea yam) is the source of this 139-nucleotide small nucleolar RNA. RefSeq annotates it as small nucleolar RNA Z247. The record is from RefSeq and is a predicted model, not a curated record. The transcript has a single exon. NCBI's taxonomy places the organism in Eukaryota, Viridiplantae, Streptophyta, Magnoliopsida, Dioscoreales, Dioscoreaceae.